GAUGAAGAACGCAGCGAAAUGCGAUAGGUAAUGUGAAUUGCAGAAUUCAGUGAAUCAUCGAAUCUUUGAACGCACAUUGCGCCUGCCAGCACUCUGGUAGGCAUGCCUGUUCGAGCGUCAUUUCAACCAUCAAGCCCUAGGCUUGCGUUGGAGCCCUGCGGCUGCCGCAGGCCCCUAAAAGCAGUGGCGGGCUCGCUAUCACACCGAGUGCAGUAGAUUACUCUUCGCUCAGGGCGUGUGGCGGGUUCCAGCCGUGAAACCCCCUACUUCUCAAGGUUGACCUCGGAUCAGGUAGGAAUACCCGCUGAACUUAAGCAUAUCAAUAAGCGGAGGA
This 334-nucleotide unclassified non-coding RNA is filed under the name soil metagenome. Its description in RNAcentral is "partial contains 5.8S ribosomal RNA, internal transcribed spacer 2, and large subunit ribosomal RNA". The stretch from base 1 to 120 matches the Rfam family "5.8S ribosomal RNA", at positions 35 to 154 of the family's 154-position model. The record is from RNAcentral.